CUGCAGUCAGCUCCAGACCUUCGAUUGGAUCCUUCAGUCUCUAGUGUGCAAGCAGAGCCUCUGCACUCUUCCACAUCAGACUCUAUGUCUGUGGCAACCAGGCACAGAAUGUCAAGGAGUGCAGUAUAUCCCUUUGGGAGGAACAGAUCCAGAGAUACAACAUGAGGCCAGAAAUGAAGACAGAAAACCAGUCAGCAGGCUUUACCCUGGAAAAUUCCUGCUCAGUAAGGUCCCAGAGGAUGUGGAGAGGGUGAUUAUGCCAGCUGUUUAACAACAUGCCUAUUUGCAGUCAUACUCACAGGAAAUUAUAGCUCUUAUAUGCUUCUAGGGAUGAAAGAGGAAGGUGAUCACCUGCCUUUCUGAUUUCCCACUCCACAUGGACAAAGGCUGAUCUGUUUGAAUAUAUACACUAAAAAUGAUUUUUUACAUCUUUGGGAAUGAGGACUUAGUAAAAAUAUGAAGCAUUUCAGAUCAACAUAAGGAAAAGUUUUUAAAGUAUUAAAUUUGCUUUUACAUAGAUAGGGUUCCUUUGGUAAGCAGUGAGUGUCCCACCAAUAGAUGAUAUUUAAACUGAAAAAAAUAUAUAUUAAGGAAGAGGAAUGACAGAGAAGCAGCUGCCUCUGCUGUGGAAUUUAAGUUAUCCCCUGUAUAUUAUCAGACCAUAGUGGAAUGAAAUUAGAGAUCAAUAGCAAAAGAAACUGCAAGAGUUUCAUAAACACAUGGAAAUUGAACUACACACUUCUGAAUAACCAACAGUCACAGAGAAAAUUAAAGAAGAAAUCAGACAGUUCCUUCAAUUAAAUGAUAAUGCCAAUAAAACAUAUUAAACUCUAUGGGACACAAUGAAACCAGUCUUAUGAGGGAAAUUCAGAGCAGUGAAUACUCAUGUUAGGAAAACAAAGUGAGCCCAAUUAAACAAACUGAUGUUGAACCUCAAGCUUCUAGAAAAAGAAGAUCAGAGCAAAGCCAAAGCUAAUAAAAGGGAGGAAAUUAUAAAGAUCAGAGCAGAAAGCAAUGCAAUGGAGACUGAGAGAAUGACACACAAAACCGAUGAAGCCAAGAGUUUCUUCUUUGAGUCAACAAAAUUGACAAACCCUUAGCCAACCUUCUCAGAAAAAGGAAAGAAAAGGCACAAAUCCAUGCAAUUAGGAAUGGAAAGGAUGAAAUUACAAUGGACCCAGCAGAAAUCUUGAGGGUAAUCAAUACCUACUUUGAGAACCUGUAUGCCAAUAAGAUGGAAAACACAGAAGAAAUGGACAGAUUCCUAGAUACAUAUGAAGUAUGAAAGUUGAACGAAGACCUAAAAAUUCUAAAGGACCCAAUAUCAAUCAAUGAUAUGGAAAAUGUAAUUAAAACUUACCAACUAAGAAAAG
Heterocephalus glaber (naked mole-rat) is the source of this 1373-nucleotide long non-coding RNA. Lineage: Eukaryota; Metazoa; Chordata; Mammalia; Rodentia; Bathyergidae. The record is from Ensembl.